This 761-nucleotide small RNA is filed under the name Arabidopsis thaliana (thale cress). RNAcentral describes it as "ATSL283940". The record is from RNAcentral. Lineage: Eukaryota; Viridiplantae; Streptophyta; Magnoliopsida; Brassicales; Brassicaceae.
AGGUUUAAAAUGAUUUACAAAGGUUUUAAAAAGGGUUUUUAUAGUAUUUACAUAUAUAAAGACUUUAUAAAGAUUUUAAGAGGUUUUAACUGAUUUACAAGGGUUUUUAACAAAUUUACAAAGCUUUUAAAAAACUGUACAAGGUUUUUUAAAGAGUUUUUAGAGGGUUCUUAAAACUUUUACAAGGAUUUUUAAAUGCAUGUUUUUAGCUGGGACUUUUUUGUCGUGGAGAAAAAAAAUUGGAGGGAAAAAAAAAAUUUGGCGGAAUUUUGUUUUUGUCGGGAAAAAAAAUUUUGGCGGGAAAAUUUCAGUUUAUUAUUACAUAUUCUCGUUAGAUGAGUGUAAUUUGGUCAUUUGCUCAAGAGAAGUGGGAUUUUUAAAAAUGGACAACAUAAAAGGGUAUUGUUGCAAAAGGGUAGUAGAAAAAGGGUAUUUUUGCAAAUCUCUAAAUAUAUUAACCAAGUCAAAUAUCAAGUUAAUGAUUAUUUAAUUUCUUAGAUUAUUUCAACACCUAAACUCAUCUAUAAAUUGAAGUCUAUGGAACAUAAGUUAUUUUAUCUCUUCAAUACAAUCUUAUUCCACAGACAAAAACCCUCUUCCUAUCUCGUUAAUGGCAAUGAAGAGUCUCUCAUUUCUUGCAGCUCUAUCUCUCUUGGCUUUAACACUUCCAUUAACCAUUGCUUCUGAUCCAAGCCAACUUCAAGACUUUUGUGUCAGCGCCAACAGCUCAGCAAAUGGCGGUAUGUACAUGAUGAUUGCAA